UGUGCAGAGACCUAUUCCUAUUUUGAAGCAUAUAUCCACACUGCUGAAUCGUCAUCGAAAUAUUUUCCUUUGAUUACUUUCAUCUGGUGUUUAGCGCGAAUGUUAAAGUCUUAAUUUUUCGUUUCUAAUUUUUUUCUUCUUUUUAAGAAGGAAUCAGGAAAAAUUCAUUAUGGCUGAAAGAUUGAAAGACUUUAGGGGACGAUACAAUCAACUGUGCUCUGAAGGACAAAUUUGUCCACUUAAAAGUGUUGGCAAGAAAUUGAAAGGAAAUGAAUUUUGUACAGCUGUGGAAGCAAUACGUUAUGAACACUGGGAAUAUGUGCUGAAAGCUCUAAGUAUUGACAAUAGUUUAACUAAAGUACAGUUUGUAUCGGUUUUAACACCAGCAGAUUAUGCAAUGGUUAAUGGUAAG
This is a long non-coding RNA of Stegodyphus dumicola, 412 nucleotides long. The record is from RefSeq and is a predicted model, not a curated record. NCBI's taxonomy places the organism in Eukaryota, Metazoa, Arthropoda, Arachnida, Araneae, Eresidae.